CUCUGGGUCAGCGCAGAAGGGCUGGGCCAGUUCAGCUAAGUGGAAUUAGACAGUUUCAGGAGCCACUGCAGUGAAAGGAGCAGUCUUUGCUGGAUGAGUGGUGAUAGAGGACUGCUGACGAAUGGGCUGGGAUCUCACCCACACUGUGCUCUUCCCAAAGAGGUGACUUCAGACUGGAAAGUAAAACAGUGGUGAAUCUCCAGAGCCGUGCUCAGUGGCCAGCAAGGGAGGCAGUGGGAUGAGGCACCUGCGGUGAUGCCAAC
Molecule: long non-coding RNA, 263 nt
Organism: Lepidothrix coronata (blue-crowned manakin)
Lineage: Eukaryota; Metazoa; Chordata; Aves; Passeriformes; Pipridae
Exons: 3
Source: RefSeq, a predicted model, not a curated record